This 72-nucleotide transfer RNA is filed under the name Bos taurus (domestic cattle). It matches the Rfam family "tRNA". From Rfam's summary of the family: Transfer RNA (tRNA) molecules are approximately 80 nucleotides in length. Their secondary structure includes four short double-helical elements and three loops (D, anti-codon, and T loops). Further hydrogen bonds mediate the characteristic L-shaped molecular structure. tRNAs have two regions of fundamental functional importance: the anti-codon, which is responsible for specific mRNA codon recognition, and the 3' end, to which the tRNAs corresponding amino acid is attached (by aminoacyl-tRNA synthetases). tRNAs cope with the degeneracy of the genetic code in two manners: having more than one tRNA (with a specific anti-codon) for a particular amino acid; and 'wobble' base-pairing, i.e. permitting non-standard base-pairing at the 3rd anti-codon position. Lineage: Eukaryota; Metazoa; Chordata; Mammalia; Artiodactyla; Bovidae. RNAcentral also lists the same sequence under 4 other names. The record is from Rfam by way of RNAcentral.
UCCCUUGUAGCUCAGUCGGUAAAGAAUCUGCCUGCAGUGCAGAAGACCUGGGUUCAAUCCCUGGGUCGGGAA